UGUAUGACGUGACGGCAGCCCGAAAAAGCAAGAAAAAAACGUGCGGGAGUUGUUUUUUUUUCCGCGUCUUUUCUCGUGUUCAAUGCUUCGGACCAUUUAACAAGUGAAGAGCACAAUUGAUUUGUAAAUAUUAUGCACGUUAAACCUUGUUUUAUUAUUGAUACCGCC
Small nucleolar RNA from Dermacentor silvarum, 168 nucleotides. RefSeq annotates it as small nucleolar RNA SNORA8. Lineage: Eukaryota; Metazoa; Arthropoda; Arachnida; Ixodida; Ixodidae. The transcript has a single exon. The record is from RefSeq and is a predicted model, not a curated record.